AUACGGAGGGUGCAAGCGUUAUCCGGAAUCAUUGGGUUUAAAGGGUCCGUAGGCGGACUAUUAAGUCAGAGGUGAAAUCCCACAGCUCAACUGUGGAACUGCCUUUGAUACUGGUAGUCUUGAGUUAUAUGGAAGUAGAUAGAAUGUGUAGUGUAGCGGUGAAAUGCAUAGAUAUUACACAAAAUACCGAUUGCGAAGGCAGUCUACUACGUAUAUACUGACGCUAAGGGACGAAAGCGUGGGGAGCGAACAGGAUUAGAAACCCUAGUAGUCC
RNAcentral lists this ribosomal RNA (274 nucleotides) under uncultured bacterium. Its description in RNAcentral is "partial 16S ribosomal RNA". It matches the Rfam family "Bacterial small subunit ribosomal RNA", at positions 523 to 796 of the family's 1533-position model. The record is from RNAcentral.